GUAAUCUCAGCACUUUGGGAGGCUGAGGUGGGUGGAUCACUUGAGGUCAGGAGUUUGAGACCAGCCUGGCCAACAUAGUGAAAUCCUGUCUCUACUAAAAAUACAAAAAUCAGCCAGGCUAAGGAACAGGAAGGAGAGGAGGUGAAGGUACAGGAAGGAAGGCUCCUGGGAACUAUAGCCUGGUCAAGGGACAAGAUGCACCCCCUCUGCGGCCAGAGGAAGGGGUGCAGCCACGUCUGUAAGAGCAGCAGGACAAACCCAUGCGACAGCCUGUCUCAAGGCCAAUCCUAGCCCAGCGUGGCGCAGUAGUGGGUCAGGGGGGGCACGGGAACAGAGCGACCCGACAGCCUGGGAAACGGACAGCCGUGUCAGAAGGGCAGGUGCCAGUGGGCAGGAGGCCGGAGAGAAAGCCGCAGCUUACUUUCACCUCGCGCCGGGCCCGCGGCCGUGCACGGGGACCGCUCCGGGUUCCUCCCGGCGAGAACCCCCCGCCCCAGAACUUUGGUCUCGU
Molecule: small RNA, 511 nt
Filed under: Pongo abelii (Sumatran orangutan)
Lineage: Eukaryota; Metazoa; Chordata; Mammalia; Primates; Hominidae
Description: processed transcript
Source: RNAcentral